AAGCACUGUUCAUGACCUGUUGGCUGUGCUGUGGCUAACGGGUUCUAGUCCAGUGCUACAGCAGCCCCACUGCAACCCUCGGACCACCUGAUGGUAGCUCUCAGUGUCAGGUCCUGAACACAAGCAUGAGGGGAAAAUA
Myotis lucifugus (little brown bat) is the source of this 139-nucleotide small nucleolar RNA. The record is from Ensembl. NCBI's taxonomy places the organism in Eukaryota, Metazoa, Chordata, Mammalia, Chiroptera, Vespertilionidae.